This 1131-nucleotide ribosomal RNA is filed under the name Haplothrips aculeatus. Its description in RNAcentral is "16S ribosomal RNA". Lineage: Eukaryota; Metazoa; Arthropoda; Insecta; Thysanoptera; Phlaeothripidae. The record is from RNAcentral.
AGAUAAAAGAAAUUAUAUUAAUUUAAAAAAAUAAUUUUUUGUUUAAGUAAAAUUAAAAAUAAAUAUUUUAUUUUCAUUUUUUUAAAAGUAUAAUCUUUUUUAUUAAAGUUUUUUUUUUAAUAUACCUUUUGUAUCAGGGAUAACCAAAUAUAAAAUAAUAAUUAUUUAUUCUCGAAUAAUUUAUAUAUAUAUAAUUAUUAAAAUUUUUGUUUUAUAAAAAUUUAUAAUUUUUUUUUAGAAUCUAAAUGUUUUCAUUAUGUUUUUAUCUAGUUAAUUUUAAAAUUAAUUUAAUUUAUUUUAAUUUAUAUUAAUUAAUAUUAAUUAUAUUUUAAAAAAAGAUUAUUUUAUUUAAGUAAAAUAAUAAAAAUCUAAAAGUAUUACAUUUAAUUUUUAUAAUAAAUUUUUAUAUAAAAAAUUAAUUUAAUUAUUUAUUUUUUUAUAAAAAAAAUUAAUUUUUUAACAAGUAUUAAAAACUUUAAAUGGAUUAUAUAAGUAAUUUUAAAAUUUAUAGUUAAAGGAAUUAGGCAAAUAAAAAAAUCAAAUGUUUAACAAAAACAUCUCUUUUUUAUUUUAUAAAAAGUAUUACCUACCCGGUGAGAAAUUAAACGGUUAUAUUUUACUAAGGUAGCGUAAUAAAUUGUCAUUUAAUUAAUGAAUACAAUGAAGGUUUAAUGAAUUUUUUACUGUCUUAAUAUAAAUAAUUAAAUUAAUUUUUUAGUAAAAAAGCUAAACUAGAUUUUUUAGACGAUAAGACCCUAUAGAACUUAUUUAAUAAUUAAAUUUACUGGGGAAGUAAAAAUAUAAAAAAAAUUAUUUUUUUUAUAAAAACUAAUAGUUUUAUUUUUAAUUGUAAAUCCAAAACAUAAGAAAUUGAUUAAAAAGUUACCUUAGGGAUAACAGCAUAAAAAUAUAAAAAGUCCUUAUUUUAAUAUUUUUUUUAUGACCUCGAUGUUGAAUUAAGAUAAUUUAUGAAGUAAAAGUUAUGAAUUUUAGGUCUGUUCGACCUAAAAAUCUUACAUGAUUUGAGUUCAAACCGACGUAAGUUAGGUUGGUUUCUAUCUAAAAUUUAUUAAUUUAUUUUAGUACGAAAGGACCAUAUAAAUUAAAUUAUUUAUAGUAAUUUUUAUAUAA